UGAUUGGUCGCAGUAAGAUCGUCGGAGCCCCGAUGCACGACCUGCUGCUGUGGAACCACGCCACCGUGACCACCUGUCACUCAAAGACCCCUGACCUCCCCCAACAGGUGGGCCGGGCCGAUAUCCUUGUGGUGGGGCGGGGGGAGCCGAGAUGGUGAGAGGGGGAGUGGCUUAAAGACGGAGCUGUGGUCAUCGACUGUGGAAUCAACCACAUAGCAGAUAAGACGAAGGUUAGCGGUAAACGGGUCGUCGGGGACGUCCACUAUGCCUCGGCCAAUCACAGAGCAGGAUUCAUCACACCUGUUCCAGGGGGGGUGGGGCCUAUGACAGUGGCCAUGCUCAUGGAGAACACGGUGCAGAGCGCUCAGCGGUUCCUUCUAAAGAACCAGCCGAGGAGGUGAAACUAAAGAAAAACUCUAAAGGUGUCCACCUGUCAGUCUGAGGUCAAGGUUACAACAUGUCCCUCUGCAGGAUGAACAGGCUCUGUUGUCAUGGAAACAGCUGCAGAGAUGUCCCAGCUGUUUCCUGCUGGAGUCAACAGGAAGUGAUCAAUUAUGUGAUCAAUGUUUUGAUUAUUGAUUCCAUCAGUGUUAUUAUGUUUAAUGGAUCAUAAAUGUGAUUUGAAGUGUUAAUAAUAAAUAUUAAUCAUUUAUAUUGA
This is a long non-coding RNA of Anoplopoma fimbria (sablefish), 658 nucleotides long. RefSeq lists it as uncharacterized. NCBI's taxonomy places the organism in Eukaryota, Metazoa, Chordata, Actinopteri, Perciformes, Anoplopomatidae. The record is from RefSeq and is a predicted model, not a curated record. The transcript is spliced from 5 exons.